RNAcentral lists this ribosomal RNA (253 nucleotides) under uncultured Solimonas sp. RNAcentral describes it as "partial 16S ribosomal RNA". It matches the Rfam family "Bacterial small subunit ribosomal RNA", at positions 524 to 776 of the family's 1533-position model. The record is from RNAcentral. Lineage: Bacteria; Pseudomonadati; Pseudomonadota; Gammaproteobacteria; Nevskiales; Nevskiaceae.
UACAGAGGUUGCAAGCGUUAAUCGGAUUUACUGGGCGUAAAGGGUGUGUAGGUGGUUUGGCAAGUCGGUUGUGAAAUCCCCGGGCUCAACCUGGGAAUUGCUUCCGAUACUGCUUGACUAGAGUACGGUAGAGGGCGGUGGAAUUUCCGGUGUAGCGGUGAAAUGCGUAGAUAUCGGAAGGAACACCAAUGGCGAAGGCAGCCGCCUGGGCCUGUACUGACACUGAGACACGAAAGCGUGGGGAUCAAACAGG